CGGGGGGGCGAAGCGUUGUUCGGAAUUACUGGGCGUAAAGGGCGCGUAGGCGGUUCGCUAAGUUGGAUGUGAAAACUACUGGGCUCAACCCAGAGCCUGCAUCCAAAACUAGGCGGGCUAGAGUUCUGGAGGGGGUAGCGGAAUUCCUGGUGUAGCGGUGAAAUGCGUAGAUAUCAGGAGGAACACCGGUGGCGAAGGCGGCUACCUGGACAGAAACUGACGCUGAGGCGCGAAAGCUAGGGGAGCAAACAGGAUUAGAUACCCUGGUAGUCCUAGCCCUAAACGAUGGAUACUUGGUGUGACUGGGAUUGAAUCCAGUCGUGCCGAAGCUAACGCAUUAAGUAUCCCGCCUGGGGAGUACGGUCGCAAGGCUG
This 374-nucleotide ribosomal RNA is filed under the name uncultured organism. Its description in RNAcentral is "bacterial SSU rRNA". It matches the Rfam family "Bacterial small subunit ribosomal RNA", at positions 526 to 896 of the family's 1533-position model. The record is from RNAcentral.